GUAGAAUCUUUUUUAUUCAGAAAAAAUAAAACAAUCCUCCCAAAAAAGUUUUACAACCACACAGAGGAGGGGUAUGGGUAGGGGAAGGUGUCUGGCCAUCAGCCCUGUACCCCAGCCCAUGUGGUUUUGGCAGCAAUAAGGGGUGUGGGGUAAUGGCCCCCAAAAUAAAAUGGUGUAUGGGGAGGGAAGGGAUACAAAGCUGUGGGGAGCGGUGAAGGGCAAGGGACAGACGAGGUCAGUACUGGGAACGCCGAAGGUGGGAGGCCAUUUCAUAACAUUUCUUGUUGAUCAAACCACCGUGGACACCUUCUUUGCCCAUCAGCAGGACUAGCGUCUUGUCAGUCUUGGUGACAGUGACAUUGAAGGUGGGGGCUCCACCGGUACUCUUGGUAUACGAAGAUCCAUGCAAAAUUCCCCAUCCUGCAGCAGUGAGUCCCGGAUCACCGAACAUUUCUGGCCCCCAAGUGUCAGCCCAUUCACAAAAAAACUUGACCUGUCUUUGCCAGCCAGGACACCAACCUCAGCUGGCGCGAUGUUGGCGAAGGUUUUCCCGGGGACGGCGGCCCAGAUGGAGGGCGAGUCCUUGUAGCCCACGAUGGCCACGUCCUGACAGGUCCCGUCCGCCAUAAGGUUGUCGAUGUCGGCGUCCACCCGGCCAUGGCGCUGCUGCUGGGGCAGCGGGCUGGGCUCGGGCUGCCUGGGCUGGCGGGCGGUGGGAAGCGGAGAGCUCGGGGCACGCGCUGCCGUCUGGACCGUGGCUCUGCUCGCUGUGCAGCAGCC
This 780-nucleotide long non-coding RNA is filed under the name Homo sapiens (human). RNAcentral describes it as "HSALNT0017483". The record is from RNAcentral. Lineage: Eukaryota; Metazoa; Chordata; Mammalia; Primates; Hominidae.